ACAUGACAUGUUGCUCAGUAGAUUUCCUUUAAAAGGUGUUCUCUCUCUCGGAGGUAAUGACAGAUGUGAGUGUUGCUAUGGUGACAGGUUGUCUGUUUAGACACUCACGGCACAGUGGUUCGGAUGGCUUGCCUACAAUUUACGGUCAUGGGAAGUAAGCAAGCCCCUCCCAGCAAGUUUUAGCGAGGGGUCUUCUUCCUUCCGGGCUGGUUUUCAAAAUGGGGUUGACUUUGUGCCUUGGGUGACUGGGCAAGAUGGGAAACCACUGCAUAUAUUCGGAAGGGCAGAAUCUAUGCACCGCCCACGGUUGAAAGGUCAAGGUCUCUUCAAGAACUGAAGGAGAUUUCAAAAAAAUUCCACGAGGAGCUUAGAGCAUCGAAGAAUUGCGUGGUCUGGGAUCCUCCGAGAACAUUUCACUCAAUACAUGGAGUUUGUGAGGUGAACACCGUGAUGAUGUCAUCUGCUGAUGUCUCUAAGUCUGCCUGCCCCUCUCAGAGGAUUGUGGGAGCCAGCCCACCCCUCACCAUUUUACAGGGCCAAGAAACCAGCUGUUAAGUGAUUUGGCCACGGUCCCCAGCACUUUGGAGGCCCUGGAAUUCGGUCUCCUGAGCCCAGCAGGGUGCCCGGCCUGUCACAUCUGACCUGACUCUUUUUGGCACAGCCUUCAUCUGCUCGCUACGGAAGGUCGCCCAUGGCAGUCGACAGGUGCUUAGGGUACCUGUGUGAAACCCUCACAACAAGCUAGCAAGCAAAUGUGGGUUUACCUAAUGACUUUCUCCAGAAUCUUCCCACUCCCUCAUCCCUCAAUCUCAGCAGCGGGAUGUGCAAAGGAGAGAGGAAUGGCUUUGAGGUGUGCACUGCGCCCGUCAUUUUGUGACUUGUGACAAAUCUCCUUAGUUAGGUUGUCUAUUAAGGGAGACAGUCGUUUCAGCUUUAACUUUCUUGUGAUUACGUGAGAUGAUGAAGACGCAGCUCCUGGCACACCGUGAGCUCUCCACGAGUGGGCCUUCCACCCCCUCCCUCCGUCCCUGUCCUGCCUACGCCCUCCCCUCGCCUCUGCACCGCCUUCCUCUUCUUCCUUUGAGCAUUUAGCCCAUAAAUGUGUCCUCUACUUCUGAUUCAGUUACAUUCAUUUCCUUAGUUCCUGACUUUGAAAACAGCAGUGGGCAAUGUUGACAAAGACGUCUUGUGACAGAAAUUCAGAUUGGGUCGAGGGUCACUGCAAGUUGGGGGUCACCGAAGCUCCUCAUGAGGGAGCCCUGGGGUGGGAUAAGGACAGGGAGGAGCAUGCCUGACAGGUCUCACAGCUGGAGAGCGAGGGCCGCUGGCUGCCCCAAGCCUUGCCUGUCUACAGGACCCCUCUUUCCUUGUGCGGGGUAUGUUUUGGCUCCGGUGUUGUUACCUGUUUUGCAGGUACCUCCUGUUUGAGUCACCUGUGCUGACUCCACAGCUCUUUGCAGAAGCCUCUCUGGGAGUCUGAGGUCGAACCAGUCGGCAGCCUCCCCUCGUCCCUGCUGCCCUUUCCUGAGACGCCUGUCCCGGGCACUGUACCCUGUGGGGCAGGGCCUGCCCCUGCUCCACAGUGGGUCCUCACCCAGGGGGAGAGUCCCUCACCCUGCGCGAGAGGCCCUCACUGCUGGCCUGGGCCGGGCUGGCUGGGCACCCCUCCUCUGGAUGUGGAGCCCAUGCCCACUGCUGUGGGAGCUUUCCCCUAAAGGCAGUGUCAUCCCUGCUCCUGCUCGGGCUACUGGAUGGGAACCCGUGGGUACCACUUAGAUCACUCCCAUCACAUGUGGCCACAUCAGAAGGUGAUGACAUGGGUCACCUUGGGCAGCUAUAGAGGAAGCACAAUGUUCUGGGGGGCCCCCUCUGUCCCCCCCCCGCCACCCCCCACCGGCCCUGUCUUCUCCCAGUCCCAUUAGUCUUCCAGAGGGAAGGGCUCAGACGUCAGGGCUCAGUGUCGGGGCCUCCUCUCUCCUCACAGGUCACCCCCACUGACAGGAGGAGGAGAGAGCCAGGAGGGGCUGCCUGUUGUUUAACUUCUCUAGAUUCUGGACUGGCCAUCACCCAGGACAGGAACCACGUGCUGCCAGCCAGUCCGGAGGCUUUCUCACAAAGCGCAAGGCAGGGAUGGGCGUGGCGAACCCAUGGCGAUAGCUGCUGCCUCUGGUGAGAGCGCCAUUGUCGGCGCUUACUUGGUCCUCACACUAGCCACCGAGUGGAUGCCAUUAUUAUCGACUCAUUCCACUGCUGAGGCACAAAAUAACUAAUUAACCUGUCCUAGUCACGUGGCUAACAAGUAAGAGAGCCAGGAUUCCAACUCUAGCACCCUGGCUCCAGUCUAUGGCCUUACCCCUUACCGUUCUGCCGUACCUCCAACAGAGGAAAAUAACGAGGACCAAAGAAGUAUUAUAUUGACUUUUUAGAAUGUCAUGAAAAAUGAAGAGGCACUAAAUGACCCAAAUGGUUUCACUAAUUUUUGAUUUCAUGAAAGAUCAUAACAAUUCUUCUAAAAUCACCAUUGAUUCAUUUGACACAUUAACACAAAUGUUUGUGAACACCACGAAAAGACUGCUAUUUCUUCGUCUAAGUGGAAUUACUUCUGAGGUGUGGAGUAGGCUCUGUUCACGUGGCCAGACCCUGCAGGCCGUUGACAGGGGCUGGGUUUCUCAUCUAGGCUUUUCCAUGCAGCCUGAUGUUUCUAGAAGAAUGACUGACUGACAAACCAGGUUAUUCAGACCUGGGUAUUUGGCAGACAUUUUCUUGAAAAUGAACAAAGUGAGCCUGUUACUUCAAGAAAAAUAACUGACAGUAUUUGUUGCCCAUCAUAAAACUGAAGAUUUCAAGCAAAAAUUAGAAUUUUAGAAAACUAGUAUGCACCACUGUGAGCUUGAUAGCUUUCUGAUACUCUCAGACUUUGCUGAUGAGAUUAAUGGCCAUAUUAAUGCUAUGAUUUCUGGAUAUUGUAUAAUGAAAUAUAUCAACAUAUCAUAGAUCUGCGUGACUCAAUGAAUCAAUAUUUUCCAAAUGGCCAAUGCGUGAUGUCGCAAAUUCAUGAAUGGGUAAAAACAAAACAAAAAAACUAUUCAAAGGGCAUAAUAGCGAGUGGAUUUUAAUGUAGCAGUGUCUAAAAAAUGAAUCAAUAUGGUUUCAGAUUCCACAUUGCAACUAACCUGUAAGAAACUGCCACGUGUUGAGUUUUGGUGCAGUAUCAAGGGAUAAUAGCCACGAUGAUCUGAAAGGCCUGUUACAAAGUCAUCCUCUCUUUUCCAAACACAUAUUUGUUUGAGGCUGAAUUUUCUUCACGCGUCUCAACUAAAACAACAUAAUGCCAGAGACGGACUGCAGAAACAGGUGUGAGGAUCCAGCUGUCUUCUAUUAACUCAGACCUUCAGGAGCUUGGAAAAAGUAUGCACUCUUGCCAUUCUGCUCAUCGUUAUUUUCGUUUUGGAAAAUAUAGUUGUUUUUCUUAAAA
Equus caballus (horse) is the source of this 3475-nucleotide long non-coding RNA. RefSeq lists it as uncharacterized. NCBI's taxonomy places the organism in Eukaryota, Metazoa, Chordata, Mammalia, Perissodactyla, Equidae. The record is from RefSeq and is a predicted model, not a curated record.